GCACUAAUGUUUUGUUCUAGCGAGUCCAAAGGCGGCGAAUAUUCUCGUAUUGAGGUGGUGCAUCAAGGCAGACCGUCAGAAACUGGAUGCAAACGCAAUCCUCGCGUACCAGUCCGUUUGGUCAGGCUGCUGCCAGCGUCCACGCGCGAGCCAAUCCGGGAGUUGUUCCCGUCCGGGGCGCCGGCAGCCGCGAUGGCAUCGUCAGACAUGGAACCGACAUGCCAAACCAUUGCGAUGUACUCUUUGGUCGACCAUUCUGCCGGUUAGCAAUGAGCUGAAUGAAUGUGCACGGAGGAGCGCGGUGCAUGAGGUCAUUGUGCAGCAGCUGAUCA
This 332-nucleotide long non-coding RNA is filed under the name Setaria viridis. RNAcentral describes it as "long non-coding RNA (SVIR_LNC001270)". The record is from RNAcentral. Lineage: Eukaryota; Viridiplantae; Streptophyta; Magnoliopsida; Poales; Poaceae.